GGGUGGACCUCAUCGGACCCUUCAUGAAAUCCAGGAAUGGCAACAGCUGGUGUCUGACGAGGACCGAUUUACUUUAUGAAGUGAGUGGAGGCAAUACUCAUUAAGGACAAGACUGGCGAGGCCACCUUCAAGGUGAUGGACAUCUUCAACACCCACGAUUCUCCUGAGGUCAUCUUGAGUGACUGAGGUCAUGAACUCUGGAACCAGAUUGCCCUGUCCUACCCCCUCCUCCAGGUUUGGAUGAACAGACCCUCAAGACUGCCAUGGGCAAGUCCCUUGACGUUUACCAGGAAUGGUAGGAGGACAACCGGAAGGUAAUUCUCUUUGCACACAACAGCAGCAUCCAGGCCUCCAGAUUACUCACCCGUACGUACUGGUUUUAGGUCCAAGCUUUGAUGGACCUGUACUGACGUCGCCUUCUGGAUGGUAGCGGGGUGAACAGGCAGUGGCUCGGGUGGUUGUUGUCUUUGAAGACCUUUUUGGUCUUCCUGUGACAUCGGGUGCUGUAGGUGUCCUGGAGGGCAGGUAGUUUUCCCCUGGUGAUGCAUAGUGCAGACCUCACCAUCUUCUGAAGAGCCUUGC
This is a long non-coding RNA of Oncorhynchus kisutch (coho salmon), 582 nucleotides long. RefSeq lists it as uncharacterized. The record is from RefSeq and is a predicted model, not a curated record. Lineage: Eukaryota; Metazoa; Chordata; Actinopteri; Salmoniformes; Salmonidae. The transcript is spliced from 3 exons.